CGCUGGGAAAGCAACAAGCAAAGUUAAGCAACGCGUAAAGCUCAAACUUUGAGACCCCCCAAAAUCUCUUAGCUGCCAUUUUUUCUUCAACAAUUUUGCUUAUAGAUGCUCUUUUGGAGUCCUAACCCGCUAUCUCCACUCACUUUGACUCGUCCGAGUCCAACGAAUGGCCAAUACCCCCACGGAACCUCCUGCCGAUGAUUUCCUUCAGGAAAUCCUUGCCCUCC
This 227-nucleotide unclassified non-coding RNA is filed under the name Hevea brasiliensis (rubber tree). Lineage: Eukaryota; Viridiplantae; Streptophyta; Magnoliopsida; Malpighiales; Euphorbiaceae. The record is from RNAcentral.